UCCACACAGAUUGUCUGAUGAAAUUAAUGAGCAAGAGCACCUGUUGAUGCAGUAAGGGCAACCUUACGCUGAUGCGAAAAGUGCCAAACCACAAUGUGGUCUGGUACGGAUUUUUCGUGUCCCCAUCGUCUAGAGGCCUAGGACACUGCCCUUUCACGGCUGUAACAGGGGUUCGAAUCCCCUUGGGGACGCCACUCCGAUUAUGUGUGAAAGACAUUAUCAACUGAAUAUCUUAAAGAUGACUUUAACGAGUCGUGUUUAAGAUAUUGCUCUUUAACAAUCUGGAACAAGCUGAAAAUUGAAAGUUUACAGCUGAAUAUCACUCUCCGUAGAAGUACUGAGUGGUGGAUUAGUCUGUAACAGAGUCUCUCAAAUAAUCGCAGCGCGAUGAUGUCUUUAAGACACCUUCGGGUUGUGAGGUUAAGCGACUAAGCGUACACGGUGGAUGCCUAGGCAGUCAGAGGCGAUGAAGGGCGUGCUAAUCUGCGAAAAGCGUCGGUAAGGUGAUAUGAACCGUUUUANCCGACGAUNA
RNAcentral lists this unclassified non-coding RNA (532 nucleotides) under uncultured Gammaproteobacteria bacterium. RNAcentral's name for it is "partial 16S-23S ribosomal RNA intergenic spacer". The stretch from base 272 to 411 matches the Rfam family "Salmonella enterica Typhi npcRNA 44". Lineage: Bacteria; Pseudomonadati; Pseudomonadota; Gammaproteobacteria. The record is from RNAcentral.